GACGAACGCUCCCUUGUGUGCCUAAUACAUGCAAGUAGAACGCUGAAGAGAGGAGCUUGCUCUUCUUGGAUGAGUUGCGAACGGGUGAGUAACGCGUAGGUAACCUGCCUUGUAGCGGGGGAUAACUAUUGGAAACGAUAGCUAAUACCGCAUAACAAUGGAUGACACAUGUCAUUUAUUUGAAAAGGGCAAUUGCUCCACUACAAGAUGGACCUGCGUUGUAUUAGCUAGUAGGUGAGGUAACGGCUCACCUAGGCGACGAUACAUAGCCGACCUGAGAGGGUGAUCGGCCACACUGGGACUGAGACACGGUCCAGACUCCUACGGGAGGCAGCAGUAGGGAAUCUUCGGCAAUGGGGGCAACCCUGACCGAGCAACGCCGCGUGAGUGAAGAAGGUUUUCGGAUCGUAAAGCUCUGUUGUAAGUCAAGAACUAGUGUGAGAGUGGAAAGUUCACACUGUGACGGUAUCUUACCAAAAAGGGACGGCUAACUACGUGCCAGCAGCCGCGGUAAUACGUAGGUCCCGAGCGUUGUCCGGAUUUAUUGGGCGUAAAGGCGAGCGCAGGCGGGUUUGAUAAUUCGGAAGUUAAAGGCUGUGGCUUCAACCCAUAGUUCGCUUUGGAAACUGUCAAACUUGAGGCAGAAAGGGGAGAGUGGAAUUCCAUGUGUAGCGGUGAAAUGCGUAGAUAUAUGGAGGAACACCGGUGGCGAAAGCGGCUCUCUGGUCUGUAACUGACGCUGAGGCUCGAAAGCGUGGGGAGCGAACAGGGUUAGAUACCCAGGUAGUCCACGCCGUAAACGAUGAGUGCUAGGUGUUGGAUCCUUUCCGGGAUUCAGUGCCGCAGCUAACGCAUUAAGCACUCCGCCUGGGGAGUACGACCGCAAGGUUGAAACUCAAAGGAAUUGACGGGGGCCCGCACAAGCGGUGGAGCAUGUGGUUUAAUUCGAAGCAACGCGAAGAACCUUACCAGGUCUUGACAUCCCGAUGCUAUUUCUAGAGAUAGAAAGUUACUUCGGUACAUCGGUGACAGGUGGUGCAUGGUUGUCGUCAGCUCGUGUCGUGAGAUGUUGGGUUAAGUCCCGCAACGAGCGCAACCCCUAUUGUUAGUUGCCAUCAUUCAGUUGGGCACUCUAGCGAGACUGCCGGUAAUAAACCGGAGGAAGGUGGGGAUGACGUCAAAUCAUCAUGCCCCUUAUGACCUGGGCUACACACGUGCUACAAUGGUUGGUACAACGAGUUGCGAGUCGGUGACGGCAAGCUAAUCUCUUAAAGCCAAUCUCAGUUCGGAUUGUAGGCUGCAACUCGCCUACAUGAAGUCGGAAUCGCUAGUAAUCGCGGAUCAGCACGCCGCGGUGAAUACGUUCCCGGGCCU
RNAcentral lists this ribosomal RNA (1374 nucleotides) under uncultured bacterium. Its description in RNAcentral is "bacterial SSU rRNA". It matches the Rfam family "Bacterial small subunit ribosomal RNA", at positions 28 to 1381 of the family's 1533-position model. The record is from RNAcentral.